Molecule: non-coding RNA, 587 nt
Organism: Delphinapterus leucas (beluga whale)
Lineage: Eukaryota; Metazoa; Chordata; Mammalia; Artiodactyla; Monodontidae
Source: the annotation of a RefSeq genome assembly
CAGGACUCAGGGGCAGGAAAACCCCACGAAACCAGAACUGCUCAUAUCCGUAGCAGGUCAUGAAGAACCCUAGAGAACCACCCGACCUGAUCCAUCGCUUCUUCCGAGACACGAGAUCCAGCCCGGCUCUCCUGCCACUGGCCUGAGACUUCCUGCCAACAGAGCCCUCACUUUCUUACCUCCUCCCAGGGAGCCAGUCUGGGGACGGGAUGGCACUCCUGGAAGCGAUCCUCUUCUCCUCCCUCUGGGCUUUUGGCCUUGGGCAAUUAAAGUUGGAGCAACCUGAAAUAUCAGUUACUGGAGUAAGAGAUAAGAGUGUACUUAUAUCUUGCAAGGUGUCCUCUGGAGACUUUAGCAACGAAUACAUCCACUGGUACCGGCAUAAACCAAAUCAGGGUAUAGAACAUCUAGCAUACGUCGUAACAGCCCCUGCUCUAAAAGACUUAGGAGGGAAGAAAAACAAGAUUGAGGCCAGAAAAGACGCCCCCACUUCCACUUCUACCUUGAAAAUAAGAUUCUUAGCGAAAGAAGAUGAGGCCACGUACUACUGUGCCUGGUGGUUACCUGGUUAAUACAUAAAAAUUUUC